UUUACCCUACUGAUGCCCGCGUC
This 23-nucleotide non-coding RNA is filed under the name Arabidopsis thaliana (thale cress). Lineage: Eukaryota; Viridiplantae; Streptophyta; Magnoliopsida; Brassicales; Brassicaceae. The record is from RNAcentral.